RNAcentral lists this ribosomal RNA (468 nucleotides) under uncultured bacterium. RNAcentral's name for it is "partial 16S ribosomal RNA". It matches the Rfam family "Bacterial small subunit ribosomal RNA", at positions 28 to 507 of the family's 1533-position model. The record is from RNAcentral.
GACGAACGCUGGCGGCGUGCUUAACACAUGCAAGUCGAACGGAAAGGCCCUGCUUUUGUGGGGUGCUCGAGUGGCGAACGGGUGAGUAACACGUGAGUAACCUGCCCUUGACUUUGGGAUAACUUCAGGAAACUGGGGCUAAUACCGGAUAGGAGUUCCUGCUGCAUGGUGGGGGUGGGAAAGUUUCGGCGGUUGGGGAUGGACUCGCGUCUUAUCAGCUGGUUGGCGGGGUAGUGGCUUACCAAGGCUUUGACGGGUAGCCGGCCUGAGAGGGUGACCGGCCACAUUGGGACUGAGAUACGGCCCAGACUCCUACGGGAGGCAGCAGUGGGGAAUAUUGCACAAUGGGCGGAAGCCUGAUGCAGCAACGCCGCGUGCGGGAUGACGGCCUUCGGGUUGUAAACCGCUUUCGCCUGUGACGAAGCGUGAGUGACGGUAAUGGGUAAAGAAGCACCGGCUAACUACGUG